Enterococcus sp. is the source of this 1737-nucleotide non-coding RNA. Lineage: Bacteria; Bacillati; Bacillota; Bacilli; Lactobacillales; Enterococcaceae. The record is from Rfam.
GGUUAAGUGAAUAAGGGCGCACGGUGGAUGCCUUGGCAUUAGGAGCCGAUGAAGGACGGGACUAACACCGAUAUGCUUUGGGGAGCUGUAAGUGAGCUAUGAUCCAGAGAUUUCCGAAUGGGGAAACCCAGCAUCUUUUAUAGGAUGUUACUUUCCAGUGAAUACAUAGCUGGUUAGAGGUAGACGCAGAGAACUGAAACAUCUAAGUACCUGCAGGAAGAGAAAGAAAAUUCGAUUCCCUGAGUAGCGGCGAGCGAAACGGGAAGAGCCCAAACCAACAAGCUUGCUUGUUGGGGUUGUAGGACUCCGUUGUGGUAGUCUGUCAAGAUAGUCGAAGGACUUGGAAAGGUCCGCCAAAGUGGGUAAUAGCCCCGUAGACGAAAUGUUGACAACACCUAGGAGGAUCCUGAGUACGGCGGAACACGAGAAAUUCCGUCGGAAUCCGCGGGGACCAUCCCGCAAGGCUAAAUACUCCCUAAUGACCGAUAGUGAACCAGUACCGUGAGGGAAAGGUGAAAAGCACCCCGGAAGGGGAGUGAAAUAGAUCCUGAAACCGUGUGCCUACAACAAGUCAAAGCCCGUUAAUGGGUGAUGGCGUGCCUUUUGUAGAAUGAACCGGCGAGUUACGAUUGCAUGCGAGGUUAAGUUGAAGAGACGGAGCCGCAGCGAAAGCGAGUCUGAAUAGGGCGAUUGAGUAUGUAGUCGUAGACCCGAAACCAUGUGAUCUACCCAUGGCCAGGUUGAAGGUGUGGUAAAACGCACUGGAGGACCGAACCCACGUACGUUGAAAAGUGCGGGGAUGAGCUGUGGGUAGCGGAGAAAUUCCAAACGAACUUGGAGAUAGCUGGUUCUCUCCGAAAUAGCUUUAGGGCUAGCGUCGAAGUUAAGAAUGAUGGAGGUAGAGCACUGUUUGGACUAGGGGCCCAUCUCGGGUUACCGAAUUCAGAUAAACUCCGAAUGCCAUUCAUUCAUAUUCGGCAGUCAGACUGCGAGUGAUAAGAUCCGUAGUCGAAAGGGAAACAGCCCAGACCACCAGCUAAGGUCCCAAAAUAUAUGUUAAGUGGAAAAGGAUGUGGGGUUGCACAGACAACUAGGAUGUUGGCUUAGAAGCAGCCACCAUUUAAAGAGUGCGUAAUAGCUCACUAGUCGAGUGACCCUGCGCCGAAAAUGUACCGGGGCUAAACAUAUUACCGAAGCUGUGGAUUACACCUCUGGUGUAAUGGUAGGAGAGCGUUCUAAGGGCGUUGAAGGUCGAUCGUGAGGACGGCUGGAGCGCUUAGAAGUGAGAAUGCCGGUAUGAGUAGCGAAAGACGGGUGAGAAUCCCGUCCACCGUAUGACUAAGGUUUCCUGGGGAAGGCUCGUCCGCCCAGGGUUAGUCGGGACCUAAGCCGAGGCCGAUAGGCGUAGGCGAUGGACAACAGGUUGAUAUUCCUGUACCAGUUGUUUUUGUUUGAGCAAUGGAGGGACGCAGGAGGCUAAGGAAUGCAUGCGACUGGAAGUGCAUGUCCAAGCAGUAAGUCUUGAGUAGAGUCAAAUGCUUUACUCUCUACGGACAAGCUGUGAUGGGGAGGGAAAUAAUAGUACCGAAGUUCCUGAUGUCACACUGUCAAGAAAAGCUUCUAGUGAGAAAACAACUGCCCGUACCGUAAACCGACACAGGUAGUCGAGGAGAGUAUCCUAAGGUGAGCGAGCGAACUCUCGUUAAGGAACUCGGCAAAAUGACCCCGUAACUUCGG